This 467-nucleotide ribosomal RNA is filed under the name uncultured bacterium. Its description in RNAcentral is "bacterial SSU rRNA". It matches the Rfam family "Bacterial small subunit ribosomal RNA", at positions 329 to 794 of the family's 1533-position model. The record is from RNAcentral.
AACCAGACUCCUACGGGAGGCAGCAGUGAGGAAUAUUGGUCAAUGGGCGAGAGCCUGAACCAGCCAAGUCGCGUGAGGGAGUACUGCCCUAUGGGUUGUAAAACUCUUUUGUCGGGGAGCAAAAGCCGGACGUGUCCGUCUGUGAGAGUACCCGAAGAAAAAGCAUCGGCUAACUCCGUGCCAGCAGCCGCGGUAAUACGGAGGAUCCGAGCGUUAUCCGGAUUUAUUGGGUUUAAAGGGAGCGUAGGUGGAUUGUUAAGUCAGUUGUGAAAGUUUGCGGCUCAACCGUAAAAUUGCAGUUGAAACUGGCAGUCUUGAGUACAGUAGAGGUGGGCGGAAUUCGUGGUGUAGCGGUGAAAUGCUUAGAUAUCACGAAGAACUCCGAUUGCGAAGGCAGCAUACCGGCGGCGAUCUGACGCUGAGGCACGAAAGCGUGGGUAUCGAACAGGAUUAGAUACCCGCGUAAA